CAGCAGUCGCCACGGUAAUACGUAGGUGGCAAGCGUUGUCCGGAAUUAUUGGGCGUAAAGGGCUCGCAGGCGGUUUCUUAAGUCUGAUGUGAAAGCCCCCGGCUCAACCGGGGAGGGUCAUUGGAAACUGGGAAACUUGAGUGCAGAAGAGGAGAGUGGAAUUCCACGUGUAGCGGUGAAAUGCGUAGAGAUGUGGAGGAACGCCAGUGGCGAAGGCGACUCUCUGGUCUGUAACUGACGCUGAGGAGCGAAAGCGUGGGGAGCGAACAGGAUUAGAUACCCCUGUAGUCCCUGUCUCUUAUAC
RNAcentral lists this ribosomal RNA (304 nucleotides) under uncultured bacterium. RNAcentral describes it as "partial 16S ribosomal RNA". It matches the Rfam family "Bacterial small subunit ribosomal RNA", at positions 506 to 807 of the family's 1533-position model. The record is from RNAcentral.